AAAGACAGCUGUCUGGCAUGGACG
RNAcentral lists this non-coding RNA (24 nucleotides) under Cricetulus griseus (Chinese hamster). Lineage: Eukaryota; Metazoa; Chordata; Mammalia; Rodentia; Cricetidae. The record is from RNAcentral.